GGGCCGUUAGCUCAGCAUGGUAGAGCAGCCGGCUUUUAACCGGAGUGUCGGGGGUUCGAAUCCCUCACGGCCCA
This 74-nucleotide transfer RNA is filed under the name Chloroflexota bacterium. Its description in RNAcentral is "Chloroflexi bacterium (groundwater metagenome) tRNA-Lys". It matches the Rfam family "tRNA". From Rfam's summary of the family: Transfer RNA (tRNA) molecules are approximately 80 nucleotides in length. Their secondary structure includes four short double-helical elements and three loops (D, anti-codon, and T loops). The record is from RNAcentral. Lineage: Bacteria; Bacillati; Chloroflexota.